UUUCUUCAGCAGAAGAAUGGAUUCCCUGAAACCUUUGGCUGCAGAAGGCAACGAAGGAGAAAAGGCUAAAAGAGUUACAGAUCCACUCUUCAUUACUCUGGAUGUGUCACAUUUGCUAGUAUGACAAGACAUAUUAUGGACUAGGAAUUUUACAGAAGGAGAGAGAAAUCUAUAAAACACCAAUCUCUUCAUGGAAACAUCUUUCAUUAAAAAUUUCCUCAUGUCCGAGAGAGAAUUAUUGUUUGCAUUCAGAGACGCUGAUCUACCUUUGAUAAGUACUCGCCUUAUAUGUGGGAGACAUCCCUUGGUCUGAAUAAGACAGAAUAGAGAUUUCAGCUUUGGUCUUCUAUAACCCAAGGUGUAUGGCUAAUCAAGGAAGUGGUCUCUCACUGACACACUGAGAAGAAUGAAGUUAGUUCCUCUGUAAUUGAAAGUAUCAGUAGUAAACUUGGCUGGAGCUUGAUUAAUAGUAUAUUAAAAUUAGAGUGUUCAUGGUGAGUGCUGGAUAAGGAGUUUUGGGCAAAUUACUUGGUUACUGGGAAACCUUUAAAUUUUAAUCAUGGAGACACUUGAGCAUCAUUAGGAACUGAAAAGACAAUGGGCACUGGUAGGAAGUUAUGUGAAUUGAUGUGCUUUUCAAUCUCUUCUAUGGUGAUAUUGAGAGUGAUGCAUGGGCUGCAAUUGAGAAUCCUCUUGCUCCCCAUGUCUUUGAUUGCUGUUGUUAUAAUUUAAUAUUACAGUUUCUUAUGAUCAUGGAAAUGAGGUAAGUUGCAGAAAAAAGCACUGAAGAUUUUAGUCCUACAAAAAUUAUUUUAAAGUUGAUGGUUGUCUGUACUCUCUGGUUGGAUAACUGUUCCUAAUAGCAUCAGACCUGAAGGAUACCUAAAUCUGUUCAAAGUACUGGCAAACACAGAAAAAUAUACUCUUCUACAAAUACUAUCUACUAAUAUUAAUAAUGUACUAAUAUAGAGACUUUUAUGUGAAUUCUGUUUAUAUUUAUUGUAUGUAUAUGUAUCCUGGUAAGUGUGU
Long non-coding RNA from Alligator mississippiensis (American alligator), 1029 nucleotides. RefSeq lists it as uncharacterized. NCBI's taxonomy places the organism in Eukaryota, Metazoa, Chordata, Crocodylia, Alligatoridae. The record is from RefSeq and is a predicted model, not a curated record. The transcript is spliced from 4 exons.